UUCAUAGACUUGGAUGAAAUACAGGGAGACGAGAAUCUAGACUCACCCUGAAACAGGAUGGCACCUGGAGCUUAGCUGCUUCCUGUGGGGGCUCACUCCUGGUCAUGACCUUGUUGUAUCUGAAAACUCAGGGUAGACUUGAUCGCCCUCCUUACGCCCUGAGACAUUGAGUGUCGGGCAGCCCUAGACAGAAGCCCCAGGGCUGUUUCCACCCGGUUCUUCUAAGAGUUGGGAGAAGGACCAAGGCCAUUUCCACUGCUGGCUGGAAGCAGCCUCCACUUUGGUCUGACCUUUGCCCUCCUGUUUCUGGAGAAUGUUGAUUGAAGUCGCUGCUCCUCAGGUUGGGGGAGCAUAUUGUUUGGGGCAUCACAAGGACAAGGAAAGAAAAGGUGUUUCUGUAUCUGGGGCUCACUCUACCUGCCAGCACCUCGCAGCCCUGGUGGGCGUCCUGGGGGACAGGGGAGGUCGGGCUGGCUUUGUGGUUCUGCCUUGCUGUGUCUUCAGCACAUUAACUGAACAUGAGCAAUUGUUUCCAUUGCUGAGACCCAUCAUGAAAUGAGCACAACAGGACCAUUUGCUUUGGCAGAUAUUAGGAUCUUUGGGGGAAGGAGGGUCUUUUGAACAAAACAGGGACCUGAUUCUUGAGGUCCGGGUGACUUUUGAGGUCUGUUUUCCUGUAAUAAGCUAGUCAGUUACUGUAAUGUCGUUUCUUCAGUGAGUUACCCUGAAGUGUCUUCCACAGGGGCCAGCCUUUAUCCGCAGAACGAGGACUGGAGCAAUCUGAUCAUCUGUUCAGUGAAAAGCACUUUAUUAAAUGCUUCUCAUGGGCAAGACCAGACUGUUCAAGAGCCUCCCAAGAGGUCUCCCUGCCUUGGCUGUGCCUCCUCACCGGCUUGCGGUUCUUGCGACAAAGUGAGCUUUAAAGCAAUUGAAGGCAGUCCCCUGCUGGACCCCCUCCACGGACGGGACAUUACAGCUGGGAUAGGGUUCCAACUGCCAGCUGUGACAGGAGCGCCAGAGGCCUCAGUGCAGCAGGACCCCUCAGGAAGGAGACACUGAGGCAGGAGCCACAAAGGCCUCACUGGAGCGGGACGCCUUUGGAAGGAAAAGAGAGGAGGGCAGGGAGGCUGAAGGAGCUGUCACACUGAUGGGCCAGCAGGUACGAUGUGCUCUCCGGACAGGACCCUUGCUGCCAGGGUCCUAUCUGGGCAGGAACAAUGGGUUCUUGCCCACUCCCUUGCUUGGUCUUUGGCAAGGAGCCAACUGAGAAAAGUGUGCCCCUGCAGUUUCCCCAGCUCAGCGAGAUCACUGGCCCCCAGCCCUUCCUGCCUUGAGAGUGGUGUCACUCAGCUGGAAAGCCAGGUGGCCUCUGAGGAGGCUCUCAGCUCUCCUUGCUUCUUGCAGCUGAGCAGCAAGUCUCCUUGAAGCACACCUGAGGGAGGCAUCCCCAUGCCCGCCACGGUCCACCCCUGCCCCAUGUUGAUCUUCUUUUCCAUAAAUGUGUGGAGAGCAGCUCCUCCAAGGUUCCGGAAACUUCCCUUCCUGAGGAGAAAUUUAAAAAGAAGAGUUCGAUGGGAGCGACGACAGCACAUCCUGCAGUGGGUCUCCAGGCCACCACUGGUACUCAUGCCCCUCUUUUCUGAAUUCCUUUUCCCUCAGCGGUCACCUCUGCGGAUCUCGGCAGCUUUCCUGAGACUGUGACCGAGCUCUCGUUCCUGGGGAUUCUGAGAUCCUGGGCUGCUGCGCUGUCCAUUCAGUUAUAAUUAGGCCAGGAGUAUGGGAGGUGCCCCACGCAGGUCCCCUGAGUCCCACACAUCCUGUGACAACAGGCUCACCACCUUCUGCAGUUCAGGAUCAAUUACCCCAGACAAGACGUGACUUUUCUUGGCGGCUGGUCCCUGGACACAAGGAGACAAGAGCCCAGGUGGCAGCAGGGGUUGAAGCUCA
Equus asinus (donkey) is the source of this 1947-nucleotide long non-coding RNA. NCBI's taxonomy places the organism in Eukaryota, Metazoa, Chordata, Mammalia, Perissodactyla, Equidae. The record is from Ensembl.